UCUUAACCUCUUUUGCAAGUCUCUUUAUUGUUCAUCCUUUCGAAUUCUAUUCUCUGCUCUCUAGUUCCACCAUUUGCUGCUGCUGCUUGGAGCUCUCGAUUCUCCAAUAUACUCCCCAAACUUCAACAUAGGUCUCACUAAUUUCCUACAUGCACCUUCAAGAAAUCAACAGUGAAGAUGGAGGAGGCUUGUCUCAGGCUGCAAUAGUGAACUGCAAUUAAACUGAACUGUUGCAGGAACAAUUAAGAUAGCCCAACCUUUUGGAAUAGUGUACCCUUCAACUUCAAUGUUUUGUAAUGAACUCUUUAGCAAUCCCCGGAACAAUUUAAGGCCUGUUCGUAAGCCCCAAUUUCCCUAUAAGCUAAGUAAUUUGUUUUUAGAGCUUUUUCUGCAUAUUAAUGCCCUGGGUGAUUUUUUUUAAUAUUAACCAACUGCUUGAAAUGUAAAUCACUUACACUUAGCAUUGUAAGUCUCAAAUCACUUCAAUAUCAUAAAUAAUACCUUUUUAGUUAUUGUUUUAAAGAGCAACUUUAAUCCUUAUGAAUGAUGAGUCUGUCACUGAUUAUCCAAGUUAAGAAUUGUGCGGCAACUUUAAUCCUUGCAAAUGAUGAGUCUGUUCAUUGAUAUCCAACUUCUAGGUUUGUCUGGCAAGUUAAGAAUUUGAAUAGCAGAGAUUAUUUUGAGCUCUAAUUUUAUGGUAGGCCAUUUGUCAACAGUGUGUGGCUAACGUUUUUGCAAUGUCUUUUUUUCUCACUCUUUUCUGUGUAGCACUAGGACCUGGAAAAUAGUUCUAGUCAGUUGGAACACUUGGAAUUUCUGAAUAUUUUGUUUAUUCGUUGGAGAAUGAAAUCUCAAUGGUAUAAGUCUUGAGUUCACCGCUAUCCAUCUGCUGAGUAGGGAGCAUGCUGAUAAAUUAUGUCCUUUCUGAUGGGAUACUUUUUUGUGCUUGCAUCAUCCCAAAUUUAGAUAUGUUGGAAUUUAUAUACCAGCUACAAUGAAACAGCUGGUUCACUCAAGGCGUCUGUUAGGGAAUUGCAAACUAUCAUGCAAUUAUGUCUUAGAGGUCUGUCUUUUUGACACCAAAAUUGAAUAGGGCUUAACUUCUUUUGUAUUUUUGUUUUGUUACAAUCACACGUUUGAUUGUUUCUUUCUCCAUUUUGAAUCCAUAACUGAAUAAACACAUUGUAUCAGUUUUUAUAAUGAGUAAUAUAUCGCUCAUGUAUUUUUAUUUUUGUGUAGGUUAUUGGGGAAAGUUGCAUUGAUCACCGGUGGAGCCUCUGGGAUAGGAGAGAGUAUUGCUCGUCUAUUCCACAAGCAUGGUGCAAAAGUUUGCAUAGCUGAUUUGCAAGACAACCUUGGGCAAGAUGUCUGUGAAUCUCUUGGGGUGACUGGACACGUGUUAUUUUCAUUGUGAUGUCACAAUAGAGGAUGAGGUUCGAAGUGCCAUUGAUUUCACAGUAGAUAAAUUUGGAACAUUGGAUAUUAUGGUCAACAAUGCAGGGUUGUCAGGUCCACCCUGCCCAGACAUUCGGAAUGUAGACCUAUCCGAUUUCAAGAAGAUGUUCAAUGUAAACGUCAAGGGCACAUUUCUUGGAAUGAAGCAUGCAGCAAGAGUAAUGAUCCCAAUAAAUAAGGGUUCAAUUAUUUCUCUCUGCAGCGUUAGCAGCACCACUGGGGGAGUGGGACCCCAUGCAUAUACAGGAUCAAAGCAUGCUUUAUUGGGACUGACCAGAAAUGUUGCAGCUGAGCUAGGAAAAUAUGGGAUACGUAUCAACUGUGUUUUCUCCUUAUGCAGUUCCAACAGGCUUGGCCUUGGCUCACUUGCCGGAAAAGGAAAGAACUGCUGAUGCCAUGGCAAGUUUUUGCGCUUUUGUUGGGCGGAAUGCUAACUUGCAAGGGGUGGAAUUGACAGCUGAUGAUGUGGCUAAUGUUGUGCUCUUUUUGGCCAGUGAUGUGUAAGGUACAUUAGUGGGUCUAAUCUAAUAGUCGAUGGGGGCUUCUCAACUGCAAAUCACUCACUCAGGGUCUUCAAAUGAUUCGUAAAGUUCAAGAAUUGUGCUACCUUUCUUUAGGUAGCAAUUCAUUUUCUCAUCUCAUCUCUCUAAUGCCUAAUUCCCUACAAUAAGAUGGCAAGUUAUGUGGUUUUCCAUUUGAGAUUUAUUUUUUUGCCCUUUUUUUUUUCUUGCAAGGAAAUGAUUAUUGCUCCUAUCACUUUCUAAACUGAAGAGCAGAGUCAGCAGAUUUCAAAUCUUUGUGUUGCAAUUGAAAAGUUGGCCUCAGCUUCAAAUCUAGAGAACUGAGCAACUAGAAUUAUCUAGGCGACAACUAAGCCAUUCUGAGAAGGUAGGAUAGAUUUCUACUCUACUGUUGUAAUAGAACCUAGUGCUCAACAAUAAGAAUGCAAUUGUUUUAAAGAAGGAGCUAAAUACUACAAAUCUCCUGGAUCAAACACAGUAAUUGUUCUCAAGUAAGAAAUUAUAUAUGGGGCCACAACCUACAUUUUUUAAGAACACGUAUUGAUACAACUGUUGUAUUCUAAAAUCUCUCCAUGUAAUGAUACAACAAACAAACAUGUACGGUGCAGAGCAACCGUGCUUUAACAUCAUGAGGGAGAGACCUGUUAUCGCAAGCUCUGUAUAACUUCAAGUAUAAUGUACGCAUGCCAACUGGCCAGGUCAGAAUUGCCACAAAAAAAUUCAUCAUUUGUCCAUCAUUCAUCUACAACUCAAUCACCAUGAGCGCUGGUAGUUUUCUUUUCACUCACAACAAAAGGCUAAAAACAUGCAAUACAAUGCAAGUUUAUUAGGGAAGAGGUUUCAGUCAUUAACCCAGUGAUAAUAUAUUUUCCUCAUAGCCAGUGACUGUAACAGCAUUUCGAGAUACAUCAAGAGAAUCAUAUUCUGGAAGCCCACGAAUUUUCACCCUUCGAAGACUGGAUCUUUCUAAAUCAUAAUAAAACACAUAAAAGGGAUUGGAUAAGAAGCAUGGUGCCAGUAGGAUCUCCCCUGUAGCAAUGGUGCCUGCAACCAAAUAGUUUUGAUUCUUUUUCCUCCAAUAAGUGGGGAAGACGAUAUGGUGCAGGAUCCAAAUCUCAUUCCAGUAGUCCUCCAGAAUCCAUAGACUUAACUGGUUCUGGGAAUCCAGUUGAAAAUUAACUAUAGCCAAACGCCCUGCUAACUGGAUCAAACAAGAUGUGUUCACGUCAUUUGGGGCGUCACUGGGGAGUUGGAUCACUCGAAAAGUUUCGUUUUGCACAUCGAAAGCAACCAUAUCUGCAAGGGUCCGGAAAUAUAUGAUCCCAUUCACGCAAAUGCUUUCCCGUCGAGGAGAGUAAGGAGGACCGUCGGGGAGAAGCCGCCAUGAUUGAGUACCCAAUGAGAAAACUCGAUAUUCAGUCUUGCCCGUUUGGUAAUUCCGCCAUGAAUUUAAAACUUUGUACUGCUUAGAAACUGGGUCGAACCCUAAUGAGUUAACGCAAUAGUAGGUAGAAGAAGCAGCCUUUGAUGUCUUUGAACAAACAAGUGGUAGAGUAAUCGCCUGCCUAGUACUGGGAUUGCAAAGGGUAGCGCAAAGGCCAAAAUCCAUACAAACUAUGCCAUUAAUUGACUGGGUAGUGUAGCGAGAGUACCGAGGAGGGACCGUCAGGCAGUGAGUAGCGGGGCCACCGUUGAGGUUGGCGGAGAAGAAGGUCUGGGCUGAUUGAAGCUGGGUAGGACAGGUGAUGAGAAGGCCCGGUUUCGGCCGGGGAUAAGGUUGAUGAGCAGCGGCGAAAGAUGGGUCGGCAACGAUGGUGGAGCAGAGCUUGUUAACGCACCGGAAUCGCACCAGGGAUUUCACGGGAAGCCUUGAAAAUAUGUCGAAGAUGAGAUCGGGACAGAUUUUGGUUAUGGGUGUGGGAUUUGAGUUUCUUACAAUUGUAUGCUUUCUUCUUUUGGCGGAUCUCUGUUGCGCGGAGCACUUGAAGGGUUUGGAUUCCAUUUCUGAAACUUAGAAUUGGGUUUGAGAAGAAGAGAUUGGAUUCAGAGGAAUUAAUGGGUUAAUUCUGUUCUUAUCUUUUCUAUGGACUUGGAAGAACCAAAUCUGAUGAAUUCAGUUCCUGAGCACCCGCCGGCGGCGUGGUAGGGAUUACAAUCAAACGAAACGAAAC
RNAcentral lists this unclassified non-coding RNA (4147 nucleotides) under Hevea brasiliensis (rubber tree). The record is from RNAcentral. Lineage: Eukaryota; Viridiplantae; Streptophyta; Magnoliopsida; Malpighiales; Euphorbiaceae.